GCCGGCCUAGCUCAAUUGGUAGAGCAACUGACUUGUAAUCAGUAGGUUGGGGGUUCAAGUCCUCUGGCCGACACCA
RNAcentral lists this transfer RNA (76 nucleotides) under Staphylococcus aureus. RNAcentral's name for it is "tRNA-Thr". It matches the Rfam family "tRNA". From Rfam's summary of the family: Transfer RNA (tRNA) molecules are approximately 80 nucleotides in length. Their secondary structure includes four short double-helical elements and three loops (D, anti-codon, and T loops). Lineage: Bacteria; Bacillati; Bacillota; Bacilli; Caryophanales; Staphylococcaceae. The record is from RNAcentral.